RNAcentral lists this unclassified non-coding RNA (171 nucleotides) under soil metagenome. RNAcentral's name for it is "partial internal transcribed spacer 1". The record is from RNAcentral.
ACGAGUGUUUAAAUUGUUAGGUUAGAGUUGAGCUGGUUAAUCUAAUUAAUAUGUGCUUAGACUCGUAAUCCGAAACAAGUCCACUCAUUACUUAACACUUGUGAACUUAUUCAUUACAAACAUUAUUAUUUGUUAUAUUGGAACGUUAUGAUUAUUAAAAAAGUUAAUGAC